CCGGACCUGACUGCUAUCGGAUUGGUACUAAGCCAUGCGAGUCAUUGUAGCAAUACAAGGCGGACGGCUCAGUAACACGUAGUCAACCUAACCUAUGGACGUGGAUAACCUCGGGAAACUGAGAAUAAACCACGAUAGAUCAUGAUGCCUGGAAUGGCUUAUGGUUCAAACAAUUUAUUGCCGUAGGAUGGGACUGCGGCCUAUCAGCUUGUUGGUGAGGUAAUGGCCCACCAAGGCUAUAACAGGUACGGGCUCUGAGAGGAGAAGCCCGGAGAUGGGUACUGAGACACGGACCCAGGCCCUAUGGGGCGCAGCAGGCGAGAAACCUUAGCAAUGUGCGAAAGCACGACUAGGUUAAUCCGAGUGGUUCCUGCUAAAGGAACCUUUUGUCAGUCGUAAAACCACAGACGAAUAAGGGGUGGGCAAGUCUGGUGUCAGCCGCCGCGGUAAUACCAGCACCUCGAGUGGUCAGGAGGUUUAUUGGGCCUAAAGCAUCCGUAGCCGGCUACGCAAGUCUUCGGUUAAAUCCAACUGCUCAACAGAUGGGCUGCCGGAGAUACUACAUAGCUAGGGAGCGGGAGAGGCAGACGGUAUUCUGUGGGUAGGGGUAAGAUCCACUGAUCCAUAGAGGACCACCAGUGGCGAAGGCGGUCUGCCAGAACGCGUUCGACGGUGAGGGAUGAAAGCUGGGGGAGCAAACCGGAUUAGAUACCCGGGUAGUCCCAGCUGUAAACGAUGCAACUCGGUGAUGCGUUGGCUUAUGGCCAACGCAGUGCCGCAGGGAAGCCGUUAAGUUUGCCGCCUGGGAAGUACGGACGCAAGUCUGAAACUUAAAGGAAUUGGCGGGGGAGCA
Molecule: ribosomal RNA, 853 nt
Filed under: uncultured archaeon
Lineage: Archaea
Description: bacterial SSU rRNA
Rfam family: Archaeal small subunit ribosomal RNA
Source: RNAcentral